ACCGGCAGCUAGCUCUCUGCAACUCUCACAUGGUCGCCCACUAAGCAGGGCUGCGCCCGGUCAGUACCUGGAUGGGAGACCACAUGGGAAAGCUGGGUUGCUGCCGGAG
Danio rerio (zebrafish) is the source of this 109-nucleotide non-coding RNA. Lineage: Eukaryota; Metazoa; Chordata; Actinopteri; Cypriniformes; Danionidae. The record is from Rfam.